GACGGAGGGGGCUAGCGUUGUUCGGAAUGACUGGGCGUAAAGGGCGCGUAGGCGGUCUAUUAAGUGAGGCGUGAAAGCCCUGGGCUUAACCCAGGAGGUGCGUUUCAUACUGGUAGACUUGAGUACGAGAGAGGAAAGCGGAAUUCCUAGUGUAGAGGUGAAAUUCGUAGAUAUUAGGAAGAACACCAGAGGCGAAGGCGGCUUUCUGGCUCGUAACUGACGCUGAGGCGCGAAAGCGUGGGGAGCAAACAGGAUUAGAUACCCUGGUAGUCCACGCUGUAAACGAUGAGUGCUAGACGUUGGGAAGCAAUUUUCAGUGUCGCAGCUAACGCAUUAAGCACUCCGCCUGGGGAGUACGGUCGCAAGAUUAAA
Molecule: ribosomal RNA, 372 nt
Filed under: uncultured bacterium
Lineage: Bacteria
Description: bacterial SSU rRNA
Rfam family: Bacterial small subunit ribosomal RNA
Source: RNAcentral